CUCGGCGUCUCCCGGCUGGUCUGAGUCUGAGGCACUUGUGCAGAGCGGGAGGGCAGCUGCGCGCGUCGCCUCCCAGGCCCUCUGUCCGCCACGCCCCCGACGUGCCCGGCCGAAGUCAGGUUCUAAAUCCCUCGGGAGGAAUCCGAAACUCGGGUAGAGGCGCUCUCGACAUUUUCAUGGCCAUGCGGUUGGUGCGGCCGAAACUGGAGAGCUCAUAGGACUGUAGAUCUUAACAUCCCUAUGAGGGAGAGGACAAAGGAAACCACUCUGUCUAAGAAAAGCAGACACUAAGAUGCAGCACAGAAGAGUGAGUGGCCUGUGGUAAGGUUGUCAAUGCUGUUCCAUUAUUGUGCCAGAUAACUUGGACUCUAAACUAAAAAGGACAUGAAAACAUUAUCAUUUGUAGCCAGAUUAAAUCUAAAUUUAAAUUAUCUUCUAAAAUUGCUUCUCUUAAAAAGAGCUCAGAAAUGAACAAUGUGUAUC
Molecule: long non-coding RNA, 483 nt
Filed under: Heterocephalus glaber (naked mole-rat)
Lineage: Eukaryota; Metazoa; Chordata; Mammalia; Rodentia; Bathyergidae
Description: lncRNA (ENSHGLG00100042388.1)
Source: RNAcentral